CUUUCUUUGCUGGCGACCGGCGCACGGGUGAGUAACACGUAUCCAACCUGCCCUUUACUCGGGGAUAGCCUUUCGAAAGAAAGAUUAAUACCCGAUAGCAUAAUGAUUCCGCAUGGUUUCAUUAUUAAAGGAUUCCGGUAAAGGAUGGGGAUGCGUUCCAUUAGUUUGUUGGCGGGGUAACGGCCCACCAAGACUACGAUGGAUAGGGGUUCUGAGAGGAAGGUCCCCCACAUUGGAACUGAGACACGGUCCAA
RNAcentral lists this ribosomal RNA (254 nucleotides) under uncultured bacterium. RNAcentral's name for it is "partial 16S ribosomal RNA". It matches the Rfam family "Bacterial small subunit ribosomal RNA", at positions 79 to 334 of the family's 1533-position model. The record is from RNAcentral.